GCCGUCGCCAAGUGGUAAGGCACCGGAUUUUGAUUCCGGCAUGCGCAGGUUCGACCACCGCGCA
RNAcentral lists this transfer RNA (64 nucleotides) under Gammaproteobacteria bacterium. RNAcentral describes it as "tRNA-Gln". Lineage: Bacteria; Pseudomonadati; Pseudomonadota; Gammaproteobacteria. The record is from RNAcentral.